AAUAAAAUGGCUGAGUUAAGCGAUAAAUUGUAAAUUUAUUUACGAGAAUAAUUCUCUUUUAUUA
This 64-nucleotide transfer RNA is filed under the name Phyllonorycter platani. Its description in RNAcentral is "tRNA-Tyr". It matches the Rfam family "tRNA". Rfam says of the family: Transfer RNA (tRNA) molecules are approximately 80 nucleotides in length. Their secondary structure includes four short double-helical elements and three loops (D, anti-codon, and T loops). Lineage: Eukaryota; Metazoa; Arthropoda; Insecta; Lepidoptera; Gracillariidae. The record is from RNAcentral.